Molecule: ribosomal RNA, 354 nt
Filed under: uncultured Actinomycetes bacterium
Lineage: Bacteria; Bacillati; Actinomycetota; Actinomycetes
Description: bacterial LSU rRNA
Rfam family: Bacterial large subunit ribosomal RNA
Source: RNAcentral
CCGAGAGGCGUAGGCGAUGGACAACGGGUUGAUAUUCCCGUACCCGUGUAUCCGCGCCCAAUGGCGAAUCAGUUGUGCUAAGUAUCCAAAUGUGGACGGAUCUCCUUCGGGAGACCUGAAGCGGCUGCAUACGACCCUGGCUGUAGUAGUCAAGCGAUGGGGUGACGCAGGAAGGUAGCUGGGCCAGGUGAUGGAAUACCUGGUGUAAGCCUGUAGGGCGUUGUGUAGGCAAAUCCGCACAGCAUUGAGCCUGAGAGGUGAUGCGUAGUCGUUGCGACGAAUUCAGUGAUCCUAUGCUGCCGAGAAAAGCCUCUAGUGAGUUGGUACACGGCCCGUACCCCAAACCGACACAGG